CCUACGGGUGGCUGCAGUGGGGAAUCUUGCGCAAUGGGCGAAAGCCUGACGCAGCGACGCCGCGUGAGUGAUGAAGGCCUUCGGGUUGUAAAGCUCUGUGGAGGGGGACGAAUAAGUCGGAGCGAACAGCUCCGAUGAUGACGGUACCCCUUUAGCAAGCACCGGCUAACUCUGUGCCAGCAGCCGCGGUAAGACAGAGGGUGCAAACGUUGUUCGGAAUUACUGGGCGUAAAGCGCGUGUAGGUGGCUCUGACAAGUGAGGUGUGAAAGCCCUG
This 275-nucleotide ribosomal RNA is filed under the name uncultured bacterium. RNAcentral's name for it is "partial 16S ribosomal RNA". It matches the Rfam family "Bacterial small subunit ribosomal RNA", at positions 338 to 605 of the family's 1533-position model. The record is from RNAcentral.